This 63-nucleotide transfer RNA is filed under the name Reinekea forsetii. It matches the Rfam family "tRNA", at positions 6 to 65 of the family's 71-position model. From Rfam's summary of the family: Transfer RNA (tRNA) molecules are approximately 80 nucleotides in length. Their secondary structure includes four short double-helical elements and three loops (D, anti-codon, and T loops). Further hydrogen bonds mediate the characteristic L-shaped molecular structure. tRNAs have two regions of fundamental functional importance: the anti-codon, which is responsible for specific mRNA codon recognition, and the 3' end, to which the tRNAs corresponding amino acid is attached (by aminoacyl-tRNA synthetases). tRNAs cope with the degeneracy of the genetic code in two manners: having more than one tRNA (with a specific anti-codon) for a particular amino acid; and 'wobble' base-pairing, i.e. permitting non-standard base-pairing at the 3rd anti-codon position. The record is from RNAcentral. Lineage: Bacteria; Pseudomonadati; Pseudomonadota; Gammaproteobacteria; Oceanospirillales; Saccharospirillaceae. RNAcentral also lists the same sequence under 1 other name.
AGUAGUUCAAUUGGUAGAGCGUCGGUCUCCAAAACCGAAAGUUGCGGGUUCGAGUCCCCCCUG